RNAcentral lists this ribosomal RNA (388 nucleotides) under uncultured bacterium. Its description in RNAcentral is "bacterial SSU rRNA". It matches the Rfam family "Bacterial small subunit ribosomal RNA", at positions 97 to 520 of the family's 1533-position model. The record is from RNAcentral.
GGCAGACGGGAGAGUAACACGUGGGAACGUACCCUUCGGUUCGGAAUAACCCAGGAAACUUGGGCUAAUACCGGAUACGUCCGUAAGGAGAAAGAUUUAUCGCCGAAGGAUCGGCCCGCGUCCGAUUAGCUAGUUGGUGAGGUAAUGGCUCACCAAGGCGACGAUCGGUAGCUGGUCUGAGAGGAUGAUCACGCCUCACUGGGACUGAGACACGGCCCAGACUCCUACGGGAGGCAGCAGUGGGGAAUAUUGGACAACGGGCGCAAGCCUGAUCCAGCCAUGCCGCGUGGGUGAUGAAGGCCUUAGGGUUGUAAAGCCCUUUCGGCGGGGAAGGUAAUGACGGUACCCGCAGAAGAAGCCCCGGCUAACUUCGUGCCAGCCGCCGCGG